AAUCAACGCUGGCGGCGUGCCUAACACAUGCAAGUCGAACGCGAAAGUGGAGCAAUCCAUGAGUAGAGUGGCAAACGGGUGAGUAACGCGUGGGCGACCUACCUUCGAGUGGGGGAUAACCUUCCGAAAGGAGGGCUAAUACCGCAUGACAUCCCGUGUUUGGAUACACGGACAUCAAAGCCGGGGAUCGUAAGACCUGGCGCUUGAAGAGGGGCCCGCGUCCGAUUAGCUAGNGGUGAGGUAACGGCUCACCAAGGCUCCGAUCGGUAUCCGGCCUGAGAGGGCGGACGGACACACUGGAACUGAGACGACGGUCCAGACUCCUACGGGAGGCAGCAGUGGGGAAUUGUUCGCAAUGGGCGCAAGCCUGACGACGCAACGCCGCGUGGAGGAUG
RNAcentral lists this ribosomal RNA (395 nucleotides) under uncultured bacterium. RNAcentral's name for it is "bacterial SSU rRNA". It matches the Rfam family "Bacterial small subunit ribosomal RNA", at positions 29 to 410 of the family's 1533-position model. The record is from RNAcentral.